RNAcentral lists this long non-coding RNA (583 nucleotides) under Salvia miltiorrhiza (redroot sage). RNAcentral describes it as "long non-coding RNA (SMIL_LNC008566)". Lineage: Eukaryota; Viridiplantae; Streptophyta; Magnoliopsida; Lamiales; Lamiaceae. The record is from RNAcentral.
UGAUUUCUUCAGUCCCACUAAUUACUUUCUACUACUCUGUUGAACUAUUUUGAAUUAAUUUAAUCUUCUUUUUGUCUUUCGUUUUGCUGAUCAUACUUUUAUAUUGACUUAAAUCAAUACUAAGCUUAAUUAGGACAAAUCUUUAUUAGAUUUCAACUCUGCUACGGAGGUCGUACUAAUAGCUAACUCGUGAUAGCUGCCUUUUUUUUUGGGUCGGUUUAGUGCUUUCCAUCCCAUCAUAUAUAGAACCCAUUAAUUUAUCUUAACUACUCAAAAUCAGUUUUAUCAAAAAAAAAAAAAAAAAAACAACUCUUCAAAAUUAGUUUGAGUUGUUAAUUAAUGUCGUGUCUUAAUUUUGUUGUGCAGAAGUAAUAAUUUUCGGUAAGUGGUAGGUGGUUCUGUUAACAAAUUUAUAUUGAAAUCGUACAUAUUUAAAAUUUUAAACACUCCCUUCAUUUUACCAAAUUACUCCCUUUGUUUUGAAUUGUACAUGUCUUGAAUUGUACAUAUAUAAACACUCCCUUUCUUUUGAAUUGUACAUGUCUUAAAACUUUCUUUCACUAAAAUAAUCUUAUUUAACAUU